UUUCCUUGUUGUCAUACUUUU
This 21-nucleotide non-coding RNA is filed under the name Caenorhabditis elegans. Lineage: Eukaryota; Metazoa; Nematoda; Chromadorea; Rhabditida; Rhabditidae. The record is from RNAcentral.